CGGUUUGUUUAUCCUCCCGGACUGUGUGCUACCCGGCUGGCCUACGCGUGUACUUGGUUUCUCCUCUGUGUGCCACCGUCUUUGAAAGCAUCCCUCCCUCCGCCGUAAAUCUCGGCAUUGGCUUGUUUUCCUCUGGUUGCCCCUAAGCCACGGACCGGUCUGUGACCCGUAACGGAGCGCCGACCUACCCUUGCCGCCCUGGAGGCCCACCUACUGGCUGGGGAAGGACACCCUGAGGGUGUCUGCCAAACUGUUUGCGGAGAAUCGCCGUCGGCUGUGCCAGGGGCUGGGUGCCGCCGGAGCGCCCCCAGGAGCGGUGGUCCUCUUGCAGGGCGGGGAGCAGAAGCAGCGGUACUGCACCGACACGGACGACGUCUUCAGACAGGAUCUAUCCCAUGGAGCACUUCAAAGAGAAAUAUGCUGUUGAUGUAAGUCCAUGUGAUGUAAGUCUAGGGAAGUCAUCACUUCUGCUCUGGUCCACUUGUGUUGGCUGACAUUUUCCCAGGAUCUGAACUUUAAAGUUAAGGUUAGCCAGCCAUAAACUUGCUGUGUCUCUGUAGGGCCGUUUCUAAAGGUGAAAUCCACCCAUCCCUACUUCAGUUCAUAGCUGGUGUUGGUGUUGAAAUGGCGGUGUGGUCCAAAUGUAAUGGUUCCAUACAAACGCUGAAUCCAUAUCAUAACUACAAUUGUGAGUGGGUUAGAAGGCCUCUUGAAUAUCUGCACUGUGAUUAAUUCUGUACAUUAGUGAUCUCAAUCAUCUCCUGUUAUUUAACUACCGGUAUCUUCGUUUUUUUAUCAAACAUCUAAGAGGGGCAGAGACAGAAUCUUAAAAGCCUGGCGGUAUUACUUUAAUGACACAUGACAUAAAAGUCAAUUUCAUUUCUUUAAAGGUGGUCAUUAAAAUAAAUUGUUCUUGCAGUAAUAUACUCCUUGAUUUUAUUUAAUUAAUGUUAUGACAUCUCGUUAUUGGUUAAGGAGCUAGUUCAAGCCAAUGGUUUCUGGAUAUUAAAGGCACGUGCGGUUUCUUUUGCUUUCAUUUUUCCUUGCUGACGACCUGCGUUUUUUUCAUUUAUCUUCACAAAACGAACUGAAAAAUAAUGACUGUCAAUGUCAUUUGACAUUUAGUUAAGUCAAAUAAGUAAGUACUUGAGUUAUUGAGUUUUGAUGU
RNAcentral lists this long non-coding RNA (1168 nucleotides) under Gadus morhua (Atlantic cod). RNAcentral describes it as "lncRNA (ENSGMOG00000028615.1)". The record is from RNAcentral. Lineage: Eukaryota; Metazoa; Chordata; Actinopteri; Gadiformes; Gadidae.